CUGCAGGCUGCAACUCGCCUGCACGAAGCCGGAGUUGCUAGUAAUCGCGGAUCAGAAUGCCGCGGUGAAUGCGUUCCCGGGUCUUGUACACACCGCCCGUCACACCAUGGAAGUUGGGGGUGCCCAAAGCCGGCAGGGAAAUAUGCUGUCUAAGGCAAAACCAAUGACUGGGGUGAAGUCGUAACAAGGUACC
This 193-nucleotide ribosomal RNA is filed under the name uncultured bacterium. RNAcentral's name for it is "partial 16S ribosomal RNA". It matches the Rfam family "Bacterial small subunit ribosomal RNA", at positions 1298 to 1500 of the family's 1533-position model. The record is from RNAcentral.